AUUGAACGCUGGCGGCAUGCCUUACUUUUGCAAGUCGAACGGCAGCACGGAGCUUGCUCUGGUGGCGAGUGGCGAACGGGUGAGUAAUAUAUCGGAACGUACCCUAGAGUGGGGGAUAACGUAGCGAAAGUUACGCUAAUACCGCAUACGAUCUAAGGAUGAAAGUGGGGGAUCGCAAGACCUCAUGCUCGUGGAGCGGCCGAUAUCUGAUUAGCUAGUUGGUAGGGUAAAAGCCUACCAAGGCAUCGAUCAGUAGCUGGUCUGAGAGGACGACCAGCCACACUGGAACUGAGACACGGUCCAGACUCCUACGGGAGGCAGCAGUGGGGAAUUUUGGACAAUGGGCGAAAGCCUGAUCCAGCAAUGCCGCGUGAGUGAAGAAGGCCUUCGGGUUGUAAAGCUCUUUUGUCAGGGAAGAAACGGUGAAAGCUAAUAUCUUUUGCUAAUGACGGUACCUGAAGAAUAAGCACCGGCUAACUACGUGCCAGCAGCCGCGGUAAUACGUAGGGUGCAAGCGUUAAUCGGAAUUACUGGGCGUAAAGCGUGCGCAGGCGGUUUUGUAAGUCUGAUGUGAAAUCCCCGGGCUCAACCUGGGAAUUGCAUUGGAGACUGCAAGGCUAGAAUCUGGCAGAGGGGGGUAGAAUUCCACGUGUAGCAGUGAAAUGCGUAGAUUUGUGGAGGAACACCGAUGGCGAAGGCAGCCCCCUGGGUCAAGAUUGACGCUCAUGCACGAAAGCGUGGGGAGCAAACAGGAUUAGAUACCCUGGUAGUCCACGCCCUAAACGAUGUCUACUAGUUGUCGGGUCUUAAUUGACUUGGUAACGCAGCUAACGCGUGAAGUAGACCGCCUGGGGAGUACGGUCGCAAGAUUAAAACUCAAAGGAAUUGACGGGGACCCGCACAAGCGGUGGAUGAUGUGGAUUAAUUCGAUGCAACGCGAAAAACCUUACCUACCCUUGACAUGGCUGGAAUCCUUGAGAGAUCAGGGAGUGCUCGAAAGAGAACCAGUACACAGGUGCUGCAUGGCUGUCGUCAGCUCGUGUCGUGAGAUGUUGGGUUAAGUCCCGCAACGAGCGCAACCCUUGUCAUUAGUUGCUACGAAAGGGCACUCUAAUGAGACUGCCGGUGACAAACCGGAGGAAGGUGGGGAUGACGUCAAGUCCUCAUGGCCCUUAUGGGUAGGGCUUCACACGUUAUACAAUGGUACAUACAGAGCGCCGCCAACCCGCGAGGGGGAGCUAAUCGCAGAAAGUGUAUCGUAGUCCGGAUUGUAGUCUGCAACUCGACUGCAUGAAGUUGGAAUCGCUAGUAAUCGCGGAUCAGCAUGUCGCGGUGAAUACGUUAAAGGGUCU
This 1352-nucleotide ribosomal RNA is filed under the name uncultured bacterium. RNAcentral describes it as "bacterial SSU rRNA". It matches the Rfam family "Bacterial small subunit ribosomal RNA", at positions 28 to 1381 of the family's 1533-position model. The record is from RNAcentral.